AUUGAACGCCGGCGGCAUGCCUUACACAUGCAAGUCGAACGGCAGCACGGGGCAACCUGGUGGCGAGUGGCGAACGGGUGAGUAAUGCAUCGGAACGUGCCAUUGAGUGGGGGGAUAACGUAGCGAAAGUUGCGCUAAUACCGCAUAUUCUGUGAGCAGGAAAGCAGGGGACCGCAAGGCCUUGCGCUCUUUGAGCGGCCGAUGUCAGAUUAGCUAGUUGGUGAGGUAACGGCUUACCAAGGCGACGAUCUGUAGCGGGUCUGAGAGGAUGAUCCGCCACACUGGAACUGAGACACGGUCCAGACUCCUACGGGAGGCAGCAGUGGGGAAUUUUGGACAAUGGGCGCAAGCCUGAUCCAGCCAUGCCGCGUGAGUGAAGAAGGCCU
Molecule: ribosomal RNA, 386 nt
Filed under: uncultured bacterium
Lineage: Bacteria
Description: bacterial SSU rRNA
Rfam family: Bacterial small subunit ribosomal RNA
Source: RNAcentral